Molecule: ribosomal RNA, 1062 nt
Filed under: Triticum aestivum (bread wheat)
Lineage: Eukaryota; Viridiplantae; Streptophyta; Magnoliopsida; Poales; Poaceae
Description: partial small subunit ribosomal RNA
Source: RNAcentral
AUGGCAGCAUCGCAGAGUUCAAUAGCGAUGGUGCCGUCGAGGUGCACAGCAGAGACGCACACGGCGCGGGGCAAGGUUGCGUUCGAGAUUGCUGGCUACAGCCGUCUCAAGGGCCUAGGUAGAGGCAAAUGUCUCCGUUCUUCAGCAUUCUCCAUCGGCGGCUACGAAUGGUGCAUCCGCUACUACCCCGACGGAUGCCAAGGCGAGGCGGGUGACGGUUACGUCUCUGUUUUCGUCGUGCUCCUGACCAAGAACGCCGAGGUGAGGGCGCUCAACAACUGGAUGCUUGUGAAUGGGGUUAGUGGGCAGUCGAUUGUGGUGCUCUCGGGUAAAGCGCCACGAGUGUUCGACCGAAAAAUGCCAGCAUGGGGCGUACCAAAGUUCAUGAAGACAACUGCUGAAGUAGAGUCGGUGUACCUGCAGAACGAUCGUCUCCUGAUCGAGUGCGAAGUCAAUGUUAUCAAGGAAUCACUCGAUAUCCUUGUGCCGCCCUCUGACAUUCUGGAUAAUCUUGCAACCUUGCUAGAGGGGAAGAUAGGAGCAGACGUGACUUUCAAGGUUCAAGGGGAGGUCUUUUCCGCGCAUAAGAUUUUGCUCGCGAUGCGAUCGGCGGUCUUCAACGCGGAGUUCUAUGGUCCGAUGGGGGACAAAGGUGCACAGGACAUAGUUAUUGACGACAUGCAGCCUGCUGUUUUCAAGGCAUUUCUUUACUUCAUAUACACGGAUUCAAUGCCUUCCAUGGACGAUCUUGAGGAUGAUGAUAAAAGAGAAAUGGUUAAGCACUUACUCGUGGCUGCGGACAAGUAUGUGAUGGAAAGGAUGAAGAGGAUAUGUGAAGGGAUGCUAUGCAGGGUUCUUGAUGUUGAGACACUAGGGACCAUGUUAGCUCUAGCUGACCAGUAUCACUGCAGCAACCUCAAAGAUGCUUGCGUUGAAUUUAUGCUCUCUUCGGAUAGAAUGGAUGAUGUGAUCGCAAGCCAAGGGUAUUUACAACUGAAAAGAUCUUCUCCUGAUAUCAUUGUAGAGGUAUUGGAGAGAGCGGCUAAGUCCCGCAGAAUUUAG